RNAcentral lists this small RNA (113 nucleotides) under Arabidopsis thaliana (thale cress). Its description in RNAcentral is "ATSL143300". The record is from RNAcentral. Lineage: Eukaryota; Viridiplantae; Streptophyta; Magnoliopsida; Brassicales; Brassicaceae.
AAGAAAAAAGUUAACUAUUUUCUUACACAUGCCAACAUCUGAUCGAUAGACUUGACACGUGGCAUAAUCCUAUGAAUUAAUAACUUUGAAAACCAUAUUUUAUAUAAUAAGAU